This 492-nucleotide ribosomal RNA is filed under the name uncultured bacterium. RNAcentral describes it as "partial 16S ribosomal RNA". It matches the Rfam family "Bacterial small subunit ribosomal RNA", at positions 29 to 507 of the family's 1533-position model. The record is from RNAcentral.
AGUGAACGCUGGCGGUAGGCCUAACACAUGCAAGUCGAACGGCAGCACAGUAAGAGCUUGCUCUUACGGGUGGCGAGUGGCGGACGGGUGAGGAAUACAUCGGAAUCUACUUUUUCGUGGGGGAUAACGUAGGGAAACUUACGCUAAUACCGCAUACGACCUACGGGUGAAAGCAGGGGAUCUUCGUACCUUGCGCGAUUGAUUGAGCCGAUGUCGGAUUAGCUAGUUGGCGGGGUAAAGGCCCACCAAGGCGACGAUCCGUAGCUGGUCUGAGAGGAUGAUCAGCUACACUGGAACUGAGACACGGUCCAGACUCCUACGGGAGGCAGCAGUGGGGAAUAUUGGACAAUGGGCGCAAGCCUGAUCCAGCCAUACCGCGUGGGUGAAGAAGGCCUUCGGGUUGUAAAGCCCUUUUGUUGGGAAAGAAAAGCAGCAGGUUAAUACGCCGCUGUUCUGACGGUACCCAAAGAAUAAGCACCGGCUAACUUCGUG